AGGAUGAACGCUGGCGGCGUGCUUAACACAUGCAAGUCGAACGAUGAAGGCUGGAGCUUGCUCUGGCUGGAUUAGUGGCGAACGGGUGAGUAACACGUGAGUAACCUGCCCCAGACUCUGGGAUAAGCGCUGGAAACGGCGUCUAAUACCGGAUACGAGCUUCCACCGCAUGGUGAGGAGCUGGAAAGAAUUUCGGUCUGGGAUGGACUCGCGGCCUAUCAGCUUGUUGGUGAGGUAAUGGCUCACCAAGGCGACGACGGGUAGCCGGCCUGAGAGGGUGACCGGCCACACUGGGACUGAGACACGGCCCAGACU
Molecule: ribosomal RNA, 315 nt
Filed under: uncultured soil bacterium
Lineage: Bacteria
Description: bacterial SSU rRNA
Rfam family: Bacterial small subunit ribosomal RNA
Source: RNAcentral